This 29-nucleotide non-coding RNA is filed under the name Mus musculus (house mouse). The record is from RNAcentral. Lineage: Eukaryota; Metazoa; Chordata; Mammalia; Rodentia; Muridae.
UGGAUAAAAACCUCUCUUUUCUGUCCGAA